This 22-nucleotide microRNA is filed under the name Mus musculus (house mouse). RNAcentral describes it as "mmu-miR-6379". Lineage: Eukaryota; Metazoa; Chordata; Mammalia; Rodentia; Muridae. The record is from miRBase by way of RNAcentral.
UCCCUGGAGUUUUACAGCUAGA